GCCAAACUGGUAUAGUGGCUUGAACACUGGACUACAACUCUGGAGAUCAGGAUUCAAUUCCUUGCUUGGCC
Phrynosoma platyrhinos (Desert horned lizard) is the source of this 71-nucleotide non-coding RNA. Lineage: Eukaryota; Metazoa; Chordata; Lepidosauria; Squamata; Phrynosomatidae. The record is from the annotation of a GenBank genome assembly.